Long non-coding RNA from Cryptotermes secundus, 1195 nucleotides. RefSeq lists it as uncharacterized. NCBI's taxonomy places the organism in Eukaryota, Metazoa, Arthropoda, Insecta, Blattodea, Kalotermitidae. The record is from RefSeq and is a predicted model, not a curated record. The transcript has 4 exons.
UAUGAGGAGUACAGUAACCAUUUCACACAUUUUUUUAUAGAGGUCAAGUGAUAUGUGUUAUUUCCCAAUGUGAAGAAUUAUGGUAAUCCAUCAUGUAAGGAAGGAAGAACACUAAUUUCACAUUUUUCUGUUGUUCAUUCAGGAGGGUGCUGCAGUGACUACCUGGCAACAGCUGCGUCUAUUGAAGAGGUUGACAAACUCUUUGAGAGUUUAAAUGGUGGAAAGCACUGUGUUGCCCACUAAGCGAUAACAGUCUGCAAUAUAGAACACCGGUUAUCCACUUCAGCAUGAAACGCUGAGAAGCAGGAUCAAUAUCAGGAUUCAGUGUGGACUUUCUUCCAUUUUGAUGGGGGCCAACCACUGCAAAGUGUUUUGACAGUCAUUUUUCAAAUCCUGGCAGAAGACUUGAAUGUUCGCUUCAUGAUCUUGAGCUCAAUGGUUUUCCCAAAGAUCCUGCUGGAUCCCUACCUCAGAUGUAGAAACUGCCCUGGUAUAUCUGCCUAUCUCGUGUGCACUGGUUCCCAAAGCAAGAGAUGAUGUACUUAGAUUUGAGAAUGAACUCUCAGAGUAGGGGAGUGAACCACAUUCCCAGAGAGAGCAUGAGAAGGGGGAAAUCAUGAGUGCCCUGUAGAGAGUUUCAUGUCCAGAGAGGAGGAGGCAAAAGAUACUGUACCAAAGGAUGCCGCCAUGAUAAAGGAUAGCUGGUUUCUGGGCCAAGAAUGAAACCUUAAUCUUUGAAGUACAAAGCUAGCCCCAUAGCUGCUAGUUUGGAAUGAGGAUAAAAGUGAGUAGUAACAUUGUACCUCACUUUUCAUUAUAAAUGUGUUGCAGGACGUGCGGAGAAAUUGUGUUUACUGUUGAUGACAGACUUGAAUUCUUAAAAAUUAAUUUAGGUCCUGCCAAGAGUAUUUGAACCCAUUAAGUGCUACACAUUUUUCAACAAUUUUUUUUUUCAAUCUCUUCAUGUUAAGAUCAGAUGAUCAGAGAACAGUGCUGUAGAUGGGAGAUUAAUCCUGAAGAAAGCACCAAAGUGGAAAAAAUUAUUUGUAGGUUACAAAUUCACUGUUGCAGAUUUAAUUCUGUUUCAUAUUUAUUGCCAUAAUCAUUUUGGCUUUAGAAAGUUAGUACAGUCAGUUCAUUUGUAAUUCAUGUUUAUAAGCACUUUGGCAGCAAAUGUUAUGGUACACUUGUAGCU